CGGGGGGGCGAAGCGUUGCUCGGAAUUACUGGGCGGUAAGGGGCGUCGUAGGCGGCCAACUAAGUCAAACGUGAAAUCCCUCGGCUUAACCGGGGAACGUGCGCUUGAUACUGGAUGGCUUGAGAUUGGGAGGAGGGAUGCGGAAUUCCAGGUGUAGCGGUGAAAUGCGUAGAUAUCUGGAGGAACACCGGUGGCGAAGGCGGCAUCCUGGACCAACACUGACGCUGAGUGAGCGAAAGCCAGGGGAGCAAACGGGAUUAGAUACCCCGGUAGUCCUGGCCCUAAACGAUGAAUGCUUGGUGUGGCGGGUAUCGAUCCCUGCCGUGCCGAAGCUAACGCAUUAAGCAUUCCGCCUGGGGAGUACGGUCGCGAGGCUG
This 377-nucleotide ribosomal RNA is filed under the name uncultured organism. RNAcentral describes it as "bacterial SSU rRNA". It matches the Rfam family "Bacterial small subunit ribosomal RNA", at positions 526 to 896 of the family's 1533-position model. The record is from RNAcentral.